This 4514-nucleotide long non-coding RNA is filed under the name Zea mays. Its description in RNAcentral is "long non-coding RNA (ZMAY_LNC002960)". Lineage: Eukaryota; Viridiplantae; Streptophyta; Magnoliopsida; Poales; Poaceae. The record is from RNAcentral.
UGGUGGAGAGGCAUAGGGAGCCUGGGCAUGCGGCGGUGGCGGUGAUGGGCUGCUCUCGUCAGGUGGCACAGAAGCAGCAUUCCUCUGCAUAGAGGAGCGGCUGGACGACGAGAAUCUGAAGCCGGGUAGCUUCCUCUGCACAUCUUCCAUCAUUUCACGGCACUGAAUGUUUCGGGUCAUUAUGAAGUCGCUGCACUGCUGUUUUAUUUUGCCAAUUGCUUCCUGUGCAGAGGGAGGGGGGGUCAUCCCAAUAUCAGUAGCCCAUUCGAGACGAGACAUCUGCAUUCCUAUGUUCGACGCAAAUAUUUAAAAAAAAAUUGAAAAUGCAAUCGCACCUGUAAAGUCACAUAAAAGUUUAGGCCCUCGUUGAUGUUCUUUUUAAACUCCUGGUAUUUCACAACAGCAGCAGCGAUUUGCUUGUAACAUCUCUCACGGGCAGCUGAAGGAAAAAGGAGAUUAACAAAUCAAAACUACACAUUAGCACCCGAAUAUGAUAACAGAUCCAUGUUAACGAUAAUCACAGGUUACACCUCCGUUCAAAAUUAUAGACCAUUUUUUUUUGUCCUAAGCCAAACUUCUCUAAGUUCAAUUUAAGUUUACAAGAAAAUACAUCGAUAUUUACAACAACAAACUGGGUUUCAUCAAGUUCUUCAUGAAAUAUGUCUUGACGGUGCAUUUAUUUGAACUUGUAAAUGUUAGUAAUUUUUCAAAAAUAAAAUUAGUCAAAGUUAGAGAUGUUUGACUUAGGAGAAAGCUGAAGUGACCUCUAAUUUGGAACAGAGGGAGUAGAGAUUAAGCAGAGCAAUAGCAAUUUGAAGUUACUCAAGAAAAUGGCGGACAUUCAAGAAAAGGUAUGCAUCAACUAGCUUGCUAGGGCUAUCUCCAGCAGUCUUACUCAUUAUAUCUCAUAUUUCAAACUCCACUCUGUAAACAGUGCAAAACAGUGCUUUGCAGGGCCAUAUGCACGAUCUGCUGGCCACAACCUAAGUAAGCUUAUGAACAACUAAGGCAGACAAAUUGCUGAGAUUUGGACAAAAAUGCCCACAAAUCAAUAAUUGCCCAACCAGCCAGCGUGAUGUAGAGAACCACUGCUGUAUUUGCUGGGCUCAAUAACGGAAAGAACGCUACCAGAAUAACAUACUGCUUGAUAGCUACCAUCCAUAAGGCUCGUGAAGUACAAAAGUGGAAAGUGCAAAAGGCUACAUCACAUGGAUAUUUAAAACAGAUAAUUUGCUCAAAAAUUAGCACAUAUACCCUUGAAGAAAAUGACUGUAAAACCUUGUUACCAUGAGGAUAAUUAGAAUACCUAAAGAGCAUGUUGUAACUUUUGGACUCGAUGUAUAAAGCAAGUUACAAAAGCAAAUGUAAAGGCAUCUAUCACAACUGUGACAGAAAAAAAUCCAUAAAGGUUACCUUUGUAAUCCUCUAGGUUGAAUACAGCAGCAAAUUGCUCGUUUUGUGCCUGUGCAAGGAUCCAGUAUCUAAGUGUUAGACACAAGACGAAGGUACAUGGCAAAAUAUAGGGCAUUGGGCUCUUAUAAACACUUCUCCUGCUGUUUCUUCUUUUUCUCAACACUGUCUCAAUUGCAAAACAACGACACUGCUACUCAGUUUUAAUACACUUUGUUGUUGAUAGAACUUUACGCAAAUUUAACACAGAGAGGUAUGCCUGCUUACCUGUAUUUGUAGCAACAAUUGUUCCUGUGCCACAAUGUUAUCAGCAAUAUCAGCACAUAUAGGAUCAUACUUAGCAAUCUCCUUCUUGAAAAGAUCAUCAUGUGAUCCCACGCCAACCAUCAACUUAGGCAAUAUAUCAUCCUGGCCAAAAUGGAUCUUCUCAAUGCACUAAGAUACUAUAGUAUAUGACCACAUCAUCAGUUAUUUAUCACUAAUUUCUAAGUAAUGAAAGACGACAAAUGAAUUUCAGCUAGUUUAAUGGCUAACAAACUUGAAAAGCAAUCCAUCAGGACCACCAUAAAAUAUUGUCAAGUGGGUUUUUUCUUGAACAAUCGUCAAGUGUAAUUUGGAAGGGGCAACGCAAAACAGAACACAGACACUCACAGUCAUAGGAGCCCAUGAUGAAUUAGUACUAAUACAGCACUCCAAGAAGUCAAGAACAUUAAAACUUGGAACUUUAAGCAUGAUCGCUAAGAAGGUAAAACAGACCCAUAGCUACUGUUCAGUGCUAGCACCAGACGAAUGUAUUCUACAUGUAAGACCAAGAAAAAUCUUGUGCAAAAAGACCUAUAGUGAAAGAUACAGGAACAAUAGUUGCACCUUUCUUUUCAUUUCUUUGAGCAUGUCUUCAAGACCUGCCCUUUGUGCGCCAAGAGACUCCAGUUGUCUCUGUUGACAAAUAAAAGCAAGUUUUGCCAAGUUAAAAAAGAAGUUUUACUGCAUGUUCUACUAGCUAUAGAAACUACUGUACAUUACCAAGCUUUGUUUCAGGGCUCCAACAAUGGCAUCUUCAUUUCCAUCCAAGGACAUGAUAGGCCUGGAAAUACUUGGAAGUGCAGACUCUAUCUGCAACAGACAACAGGUACAUGUAACUAUCUAGAUAUGAAGAAUAAAAUGAUGAUCACAGAAGAGAGGUACGGUUCAUUGGGAAGCAAAUAAAGAUAAGUAAUCCACUCAUAUGUUAAAUCCUAAUUAUACUUCUAGUUUCAUGUUAUAUACUAAUGUUGAACUCUCACCGGCCUUUUGUCAAGGAUAGACAUCAAUGAAUAGUUCUCCUUCACGCCUCGUUCAAUCAGAGAAUCACUAUCAGCAGCUCUCUUCAAAUUAGAAGCAAACAGAUUCAAUCUAUCCUGAAUAUUCUUUGUUAGGGUGCUUGAUUGAGGUCUAGUCCAACGACUCCCAAAUUGUGUACGAAAUUGAGCGUCUUCAUUCGCCUCCUUCUGUAGAAGCUCUUCAGUCUGGACAAGUAGUUCCUGAUUGACCCUGCUCAAAUCCCUAAGUUGCUGCAACUCAGAUUCUAAGCCAGCAGGGCCACCGCUUAUCUGCACAGCCUCUACGUCUUCCUUCAGAUCCAUGGGCAAGGUUAUAUUUCCUUCCAAUGAAAGAAUAGAAUCUGGUAAGUCCAUUUCCUUCAGCCUGACUCUAGUGAUCUCACUAGCUUGCUGCAAUUUCUCAGCCUGGGUCCGGAUACUAUUAUCUACCAUCUCUGUGUACUUAGAAAGUGCUUUCAUGCUGCCAUCAGGCACAAGUGAUGAAAAAAGCCUUUCCUUGCUGGCAUCUAAAACUUCAGCCAAAGAGGUAGGUUUUACAAGGGACGCUGCAGGGAGGGCACCCAAGGAACCAGCAGCUGGAACCCGCAUCAAGUAAACACGAUCAUUCUCCUUCAUAGCCCUUUCCAAGUUGGUUUUCAUGUUACUUUCCAGCUUGUUGACGGAAUCCAGAAGUUGGGCAGCAACUCCCUUCGUAGUCUUCUUAGCAUCUGCCAAGGCACUCAUACCAAUCUUUAAACGUGCAAUUUCCUCAGCAAUUUCUUCUUUCUCAUGAAGAUCCAGUGAAUACCUGUAGCAAGCAUCGGCGUAGAAUUGAGCAGCUUUAAGCUGGACAUGGGACACCCAUGUCUUAUCAAAGUGCUGACUUAGAGGAGAUGCACUGAGAGCUGUGUAUGCUUCUUCAUAGAGUAUGCCAACCUAAAAAAUGUGAACAUGCAAUGACCAAGAAUUAGGCCCUGUUUGGAAGCAACUAGUUUUUAAAAAUCCAGUUUCUAUCUCUAGUUUCUAGAAACUGGUUUAUGAAAAAAAAACAGUUAAUGGUGUUUGGAACCACCUCGGUUUUUAUAAACUGGCUUUAGCUAGGGGAGGCUAGCCUUUUGGUUUUAAGAAACUAGGAAUCCAGUUUCUAUAAAUUGGGACAUAAGUUAGUAUGUUUGGAACCGCCUCAGUUUUCAAAAACUAGUUUCUUAAAAACUGGAUGCUUCCAAAUAUGCCCUUAGUUAGAUAGCACAUUGACACCAACGUUUUGCACAAGAAAGAACUGCAUCGUGAAUAAGGAUGUGGUGCAUUAAUUGUAGCUAAAAAUGAACAGUGUGACUCAUAUACAAUUAAGUCGCCAUAUAUAACUAAAUCAAAUCAACAGUAGGAAAUAAUCUCACAACUGGAUACACACAUGAACUUGCUUGCUGAGUCCGUCUCCUAAUACAAUUCAAUCAAACAAGUUAGCCACCCCAUAGGCCUAUAGGAUUAUUCUUGAAGGUUUAUCUUGAUGUUAGAUAAAAUGACUUCCCUAGCUUAGGGUUUGGCAUAUAAUUAGUUGUUAGUUAUAAGUCCUCAACACUACAACAUCGUGAAUUCACUUCUGGCUGGUAAACAUAUUGUCAAUGCUUAAACAACUUAAGAAACAUUCAGAGCUUUCAUUCAUUCUAUAGCAAUCUAAACUAAGCUCGCAUGACGCAAAACCUGAACAGGAAGUAAUGGCGCACCUGCCGCGCCACCUUGGAGCACAGCGCGGGUGGCUUCCCUCCACCUAUAACCUUCUCGAAGAAGCAUUCUUGCGCCUGCGCG